Long non-coding RNA from Gambusia affinis (western mosquitofish), 565 nucleotides. RefSeq lists it as uncharacterized. The transcript has 3 exons. The record is from RefSeq and is a predicted model, not a curated record. NCBI's taxonomy places the organism in Eukaryota, Metazoa, Chordata, Actinopteri, Cyprinodontiformes, Poeciliidae.
UUUAAUAUUUGUAUUAGUAGUAAUAAUAAUAAAUUACGGAUUGCACCCGACAAAACAUUAGAGAAGAAGAAGAAGCUUACGUCAUUCGACGCGACACUUUCCACGGUCGGAGCUGAUCCGGAUCACAUACACAGGAGUCACUCAUUGAAGAUGAAUCACAUGGUUAGGCUGGACAGGGAUCUUCGAAUAAUUGAGAGACACCAUGGUGUAAAACGAAGGUGGCUCCCUUCGGAUGGCAUUUUCCAGAGAACACUGAGAGAUGUUGACCAGGAACUUAGAGGUCAGCUGAUACGACGAGCACAAAAUGAAGCAAGGGAGAGGGCCACUCUUCUCAACCUGAAAAGAAGAUGUAAUGGUAACACUACUUCUUCUCUUGACUGUAUGGUCAUUAGCAAAAUUGAAGCUCAAAGGUCUUGUGGUAAACCUAAAUUUAAUCUUUAUGUUAUCCCUGCACCAUGCAUAUGUUCACUCUAGGUACUUAAGGCAAGGCAAGGCAACUUUAUUUAUAUAGCACCUUUCAGCCAAGGACAAUUCAAAGUGCUUGUACAAAACAAGUUAAAAACAA